GAUGAAGAACGUAGCGAAAUGCGAUAAGUAAUGUGAAUUGCAGAAUUCAGUGAAUCAUCGAAUCUUUGAACGCACAUUGCGCCCGUCAGUAUUCUGGCGGGCAUGCCUGUUCGAGCGUCAUUACGCCCCUCAAGUCCCCUGUGGACUUGGUGUUGGGGAUCGGCGAGGCUGGUUUUCCAGCACAGCCGUCCCUUAAAUUAAUUGGCGGUCUCGCCGUGGCCCUCCUCUGCGCAGUAGUAAAACACUCGCAACAGGAGCCCGGCGCGGUCCACUGCCGUGAAACCCCCCAACUUUUUAUAGUUGACCUCGAAUCAGGUAGGACUACCCGCUGAACUUAAGCAUAUCAAUAAGCGGAGGA
This 358-nucleotide unclassified non-coding RNA is filed under the name soil metagenome. RNAcentral describes it as "partial contains 5.8S ribosomal RNA, internal transcribed spacer 2, and large subunit ribosomal RNA". The stretch from base 1 to 120 matches the Rfam family "5.8S ribosomal RNA", at positions 35 to 154 of the family's 154-position model. The record is from RNAcentral.